Long non-coding RNA from Salvia miltiorrhiza (redroot sage), 1257 nucleotides. RefSeq lists it as uncharacterized. The record is from RefSeq and is a predicted model, not a curated record. The transcript is spliced from 5 exons. Lineage: Eukaryota; Viridiplantae; Streptophyta; Magnoliopsida; Lamiales; Lamiaceae.
UUUUCAAUUUAUUUAAAGAACUAACCAUGGAUAUGCUAUUGUGUACAGGUACUACUGUUUUUCGUCUGGGGAUUCUGUUGUUGCAAGGUUCCUUCAAUGAGCUGUUUUGAGGAGAGGGCUAUAUUCUUAUCACUUUGCAGUGAAAAAAUCGCUCCCUCCAAGCUGCUGCUGAGGAACAAAGAAAGGCUGGUGAAAAAGUAAUGAGGUUGGCAGACGAACAGAAGAAACAAAAGGAGGAACUCCAUAAGAAAAUCAUUAUGCUGGAGAAACAAUUGGAUUCAAAACAAGCAGUACAACUUGAAAUUGAGCAGUUGAGAGGUAAAGUAAAUUUUAUGAAGCACAUGGGAGAUGAAGGUGAUCAAGAAGUGUUAAAGCAAGUUGAGUUGCUGAUAAAAGCCCUAAGGGAGAAGGAAUGAGACAUUGAUGGUCUGGAAGCGUUAAACCAAAGUUUAGUUGUGCAGGAGCGCAAGAGAAAUGGUGAGCUACAAGAUGCUCAGAAAGACAUGGUUAAUGUAUUCUGAAACUUAUGAUUGAAGUUGUUGAGGAACCAUCGGAAAUGAGAGAAUCUGCAUCGAAGCUCUUCUUUGGUUGUCUAUUGUUCAGGUGCUUGACAAUUUGGAACUUUAUGUAUGUAUAUAUGAAGAGUUCCUGGUUGUUCCAGUACUGCCUCCUAAAGUAGCAUAUCUCCAAAGUGAUUGUAGUCCAUGACACUCAGAGGAUCUUUGAUGCAUGUGCAUUCACCCUAAAAUCUUUGAGUAAGCCGGAAAGCUUGGAUGCGGCAUGACUUGUAGUACCGGCGCAAGCUGUGCACGUAUAGGGCAUCCUCAUUGCCAAGGAAUUCACAAUUUUCCACGACAGAGAGAUCGUUGUCUGACCAGAAAGCUAUUUCUUGCUGAGCUUAAGGCUUGCUGUGUUCUGGAUGGUGAGACCAUUGGCCAUAAAUCGGCGGGAUACAACAGCUGUAGAAGGUGUUAGAUGAUAAAGAACUUGAUACUCAGUAGAAAAUCAACUCUCCUACACAACCUUAGUACUAAUCUGUAUACAAUUGUUAUACUACAGAGAUUUAUAUCUCAUGAAGACAAGUCCAGAAAAUAGAGAGCCAUACUUCCAAACAUUAGAAAAUGACUUUUCUGGUAAAAGGGCUUGCCAAUAUACAACACACAAUGGUAAAAAGGUUUGCCAAUUCUGAUUGAGUUAUUGUAAGUUCAAAUUGACGUGAAAAACUUCUAAUUAUAAGCUGUGUUUAUGAGAUGAUUU